UACGUAGGGUGCGAGCGUUAAUCGGAAUUACUGGGCGUAAAGCGUGCGCAGGCGGUUUUGUAAGCCAGAUGUGAAAUCCCCGGGCUUAACCUGGGAAUGGCAUUUGGGACUGCAAGGCUUGAGUUUGGCAGAGGAGACUGGAAUUCCUGGUGUAGCAGUGAAAUGCGUAGAUAUCAGGAGGAAUACCGAUGGCGAAGGCAGGUCUCUGGGCUAGAACUGACGCUCAUGCACGAAAGCGUGGGGAGCAAACAGGAUUAGA
RNAcentral lists this ribosomal RNA (259 nucleotides) under uncultured bacterium. RNAcentral's name for it is "partial 16S ribosomal RNA". It matches the Rfam family "Bacterial small subunit ribosomal RNA", at positions 524 to 782 of the family's 1533-position model. The record is from RNAcentral.